This 103-nucleotide non-coding RNA is filed under the name Carnobacterium sp. RNAcentral's name for it is "TPP sequence". It matches the Rfam family "TPP riboswitch aptamer (THI element)". From Rfam's summary of the family: Vitamin B(1) in its active form thiamin pyrophosphate (TPP) is an essential coenzyme that is synthesised by coupling of pyrimidine and thiazole moieties in bacteria. The previously detected thiamin-regulatory element, thi box was extended, resulting in a new, highly conserved RNA secondary structure, the THI element, which is widely distributed in eubacteria and also occurs in some archaea. Analysis of operon structures identified a large number of new candidate thiamin-regulated genes, mostly transporters, in various prokaryotic organisms. Lineage: Bacteria; Bacillati; Bacillota; Bacilli; Lactobacillales; Carnobacteriaceae. The record is from RNAcentral.
ACCAUCACAAAGGGGUGCUGUAAAAAGCUGAGAUUGAAUCCUAGAUUCUGACCCUUCGAACCUGUUCGUUAACACGAGCGUAGGAAUUGUGACGGGGCAAAUG